This 253-nucleotide ribosomal RNA is filed under the name uncultured bacterium. RNAcentral's name for it is "partial 16S ribosomal RNA". It matches the Rfam family "Bacterial small subunit ribosomal RNA", at positions 524 to 776 of the family's 1533-position model. The record is from RNAcentral.
UACAGAGGUCUCAAGCGUUGUUCGGAUUCAUUGGGCGUAAAGGGCGCGUAGGCUGCGGGGCAAGUCGGGUGUGAAAUCUCAGAGCUCAACUCUGAAACUGCACUCGAUACUGCUUUGCUCGAGGACUGGAGAGGAGAUUGGAAUUCACGGUGUAGCAGUGAAAUGCGUAGAUAUCGUAAGGAAGACCAGUGGCGAAGGCGAAUCUCUGGACAGUUACUGACACUGAGGCACGAAGGCCAGGGGAGCAAACGGG